RNAcentral lists this ribosomal RNA (219 nucleotides) under Chaetoceros curvisetus. Its description in RNAcentral is "partial Bacterial small subunit ribosomal RNA". It matches the Rfam family "Bacterial small subunit ribosomal RNA", at positions 601 to 819 of the family's 1533-position model. Lineage: Eukaryota; Bacillariophyta; Thalassiosirophyceae; Chaetocerotales; Chaetocerotaceae. The record is from RNAcentral.
UCGAGGACUUAACCGAAGAAUAGCAUUGGAAACUGGAAGACUUGAGUGCAGAAGAGGAGAGUGGAAUUCCAUGUGUAGCGGUGAAAUGCGUAGAUAUAUGGAGGAACACCAGUGGCGAAAGCGGCUCUCUGGUCUGUAACUGACGCUGAGGUUCGAAAGCGUGGGUAGCAAACAGGAUUAGAUACCCUGGAAGUCCACGCCGUAAACGAUGAAUGCCAG